AAUCAUAGACGGCAAAGAAAUGCAGUUUUGCCGUCAGUCAGAGUACAUGUUUGCCGUCAGCUAUUCACGUCUUUGCCGUUAGCCUCGUAUACCACAGACAGCAAAGAAGUUAAUUAAAAAAACACAACAGCAUUGCUCCCGAGCGAUGCGGUCAACUCAUGCGAGUGCAAAUCUUUCUUCUUCUUUUUUAACAGGGAAAGGCCAUCCGUGUGUAGUGCCAUUCAUUUAACGUUAUUGGAGUACAAAAUGCAAAUAUGAGCCCGAACCAAAACUAAAGUUACAGAGUAGUUCAGGAAAUUAACACAAAGGACCCUAACAAGUUAAACUGAAAAGCAAUCGGGUCCUUCUCCACUCCGGUGCUCUGCCCGCCCCGCUAUCCAGCCCGACGCUCGCCUUUCCUCUCUGCCAUGCUCUGCUCGCCGCUCCGCCGCCCGGCCCUGCUCAGCCGUGCAGCUCCGGCCCAGCCGCGCUCGGGAGCUGACUUGCUCCGGCGCCGCGGAGAGGCACGCGAGGGAGGUCGGGGAUGGCCGGUGCUCAACCGGCGGAGCGCCCGGCUGCUCUAGCGACGGAGCUUGCGAGGCGGAGCGCAGGACCGGCAGGUGAGGAGGAGCUCGGGGUGUGGACGGGUUCGGGUGCGCGGCUGGAGGAGCUGGGGUGGGCAAGGCCGACCGGUGAAGUCGAGCUGGCGAGGUAGAGCUUCACGCGGCGCUGGCGGUGUGGCGGACGGAUGGGCGGGAGGGCGCUGGGCGUGGCAGCGGACGGAAGGGGCUCGCCGUUGCUGGCCACGGCACGCGGCUGCUCGGGGACAAGAGGCGCUGGACGGGGGCGCCGGACGGGGGCGCUGGACGGGGGCGCCGGACGGGCAGGCGGCGCUGAACGGGGGCGCCGGACGGGCGGGCGGCGUUGGCCGGCGGCGUGUGGCUGCUCAGGGGAGAAGGAGGGAGGAGGGUGCUGGCACGGGGGAGAAGGAGGGAUGGCACGGCGGCGUGCUAAUGCUCGUGGAGAUGGAGAGAAUGAGAGAUGAGGGAGCACGGGGGAGAAGGAGGGAAUCGUGGGUGGGGCAGCCGGGCAGGUACGGGGUGGGGGCGCGUGCGUCGUGGGGUGGGUUGGGAUGGGAUGGGCGCGCACGACGGUCCUGAGUGGGCUGAGAUGUGUGUCUAAGAUGAUGCCAAGUCAUCAAUCCGUGUGCUCGAUCCGUGUGGUGUGCUUCUUCUUUGCCGUCUGCGGAAACAAAUACAGACAGCAAAGAGCUCAAUUUGCCAUCUGCGAAAAAACACAGACGGCGAAGAUUCUUUGCUGUCUACCAAAACAAACACAAACGGCAUAGAUGCUUUGCCGUCUGUGAUUUUUGUUGCAGACGGCAAAGUGAGCUAUUUGCCGUCUGUAUUUUGUUUCACAGACGGCAAAGUUUAUUCUGCCGUCAGUUUUUCUUUGCCGUCUGCCGAUGACGGCAAACACUUUCUUUGCCGUUUGCCCAACGAAAAGCUGACGGCAAAGACGACUCCUGACGGCAAAUUAGCUGUUUCCCGUAGUGAAAUUAUGUAUGUGUUCAUCAAUUCAUGAUAGUGCAGUGCAAAAAAGCAAACCCUAAGUCAAAAAAUAGGGGGUUUCAGUACCUUAAAUUUGAUUUGCACAUUUGCUAUGAAUCUGUGAUGCUACCGCUGGACGGCUGGAGACUUGCUGGUGAGCGGCACCUUCGACGGUCGUCGGUUUUGCAGGGAGGGCUGAGGGGGCGCAGGCAGUGGGCGGGCGGGCGGCAGGGCCAGGCGGCCACGGCUCCUGCUCGUCAAGGGGCGCGGGCGAGCGGUGGAGGCAGCGACGUCCUGGAGGGCAGCGAGGGGGAGGGGAGGCGGCCGGCGAGGAACAACGGCGCCGCGGCGGUGAGGGCGUGAGGCGAGGGCUUCGGGGCGUCCUCUCCUCUGCCUCGAUGUGGAAUGAGCAAAGUUUCAAAUCGCGGGCGAAAUUGGCGCUAUUGCUGCGCUAUCGCGGCUGGAGAGCCUUCCCGUACGCUAUGCCUAAUUUUCUGCGAUUUGCCGCUACCGCCGCGAUCGCUGCGCGAAACAACAAUAAGUGGCUUAGCUGUCGCUACAGUUUCGCUGGAGUGGCUGAGAUUCAUUUUUAACGGGCUGAAACAUAGGCCCGAAACAAAUCGUAGCCCAAAUUUCCUCUGAUAGAGCAGCAUGUCCAGAAACCUUAUCUUCAUUAAAUCCUCUCACUCCCAUCUAAAAAACUUGCGGUGGGUGCGGCUAGGUGGGCCGGUGUUUGCUUCGCCGCAAGCCGGAGUCAGCGACGAGCGAGGCGGCGACCAGGGCUCCGACAGGAGGCUGCAUACUCAGUAGCUCUAGUACUUUGUCUUUUUGCUGUUAUUGAUCCAUCCCAGUCGGUUUUCUGAUUCAGUAGGGAUGUUGUCUUUUUAUUUGCGGGGAGGAUAUUGACUCAUUUAUGACUGAAUUUAUACUGCCAAUCCUCUGUUUUCUGCUGAAAAUCCUCUGUUUUUUAGACAAAAACAUGCAUAUGUACUUUUGCCGCUAAAUGCCUUAGCGGCCGCUAUCGCCCGCUAUAGCGGCCCUAGCGUUUUGAUGAGCCAGCCGCGAAAUGCUUUUUCCUGCGAUCUUAAAGUUUGGGAACAAGAGCUCGUGGCCUCCUGGGCUAUGGCUGAACGACAGAACGAGGGCUGGCAAUGAUAUUGGGUCAUCUGUUUUUUUUGGCCCAGUUAAAUACCCAUGGUAGGCUGCUCCAAAAUCCCCUCAGCCCGUGCCCGACAUGGUUCAUUUAAUUCAUUAUUUAGCAUUUGAUAUGUGUUCUAUGCUCUAAUGUGUAGCCUUCUUCUCACGAUUUGGGUCUAGCUGUCGGUGGUCAUGAGUUCAUUACUUAUGUUAACUACUAUUGUUGUGUCCACUGGUUUGCCAAGAGACUAUAAAGUUAACUUAUAUCCUCCCGAAUUUAUAUUAAUAUAGUUGGCGGUGAGGUAAUCCUUGACCUUGAAUAUUACUCACAUUUGUCAAAUAGGAGGCCAAGCUGGAACUGUCUGGUGCAUCCUCUAUGGUCACAUAUGGUGUAUUGCCUAUUCUAAACCCAAUGAGUAUUACAUUAUGGCAUGUGCCUGCGAGGAGGAACGAGUUACUCUUUUAUGGCAUGUGCCUAUUCUAAACCCAAUGAGUAUCACAUUAUGGCAUGCCUAAUAAUUGUCAGUGAAAAAUUAAUAGCCUACAUCAGAAGUCUAACCCAAGAAAGUGAAUAUGUGCCAUUGUAACUUUCCAACACUAAGGGCCUGUUCUGAUCUCCUCCCGCUCCACGCUUCACUAAUUCCUGGAGCAGAUACGAGUCGAUCGAAAUAGCAGCGAGAAGCUAUCUCGAGGAAGCUAGGAUCGACCGCAGUGCAAAAUCGUGAAGCAGACUCGGCCCAGCUCCACCGAUCCGGAAAGCUGAAGUUAGCCAAUAUUAAAAGUGAACUGCCACCACCAAGUCAAACGAGCCGAACCGGUACGCUUGAUCUGUUUGAUCGCUCUUCGUUCCCUCACUCGUGCUCCCUCACUGCUCCUCUACAAGGCCGAUUUGGGCUGCCUCCAAUCGGACAAACUAGCCCGAACAAGCCACGACCCUUCUAGCUGGGUUGUAGUGCAGCGAGAAGUUGCAAACCGAGCCGAACAGAUUUUUCAUCGCUGCUUGGAGUGAGAAGCUACUCGGAAAAGUUGAAUUUCUGAAGUUUUGGGAAGCUAAAGGAGAUCAGAACAGGCCCUAAGUCAUCGGUAUUUCAUAAUUGAAUGUUCUCCAUGUCGUGACUUUUGAUGGUGUAAACCCAAAUAAUCGCCAUUGUGAAAUUAAAUUCCUCCCGUGAGUCGAACCCACAUCCGUAAAGAUGUGCCACUACAAUCCACCUCAUGGCUAUCUUGGAGUGCUCAGUAUAAUCAAGUGUGCCCAAUAUGGUGACUUAAUAUGUACUUAUUGACCCUAGGAAGCUAAUCGCCUCCAUCAAGACACCUUCCUGUUUCUCCUAUAACUAGAUUCCCCGAAACCACGAGAAUGCCUAGAAUGGGAUUACAACUUAGCACCUUUUGUUUUCAAAUGUUAAGAAGAGUUGCUCCUUGGAGAGCACGGUACGAUCAAAGUUGUAACCUGUGUUUCGGAGGGAGUUAUUGUCUUGAAACUUUGUUCUCAACUAUUCUGAUUCCAGCAAACAAAGGCCAUUGGGUCAAAGCUGUAGCGCACGCCCUGUAGUUUUCAAGUGGGGCGAGACAACUUUUGCUAGGAACCUAUUUUCAUUCUGACCAGCUCCCUGAAAACAAUGUUCGACUUCAUGUGUAGUCGGUGUAGAUGUGUCAUUGCAAUUCCACCACUAGGAUAUCACCAAUUCCUAUGUAUUACAUGACAACAUAUGCCACCAUAUGGUGACUUGAUAAAUUAAAUGGAUUUCACCAAGCUUUCCUGUUACAGUUAUAGUGAAGAUAGUGACUCACCUGUCAGCCUCCCCGGCGGGAAGCAAAAUCACUCUGACUUUGGCAACCUAAUUUUUGGUGGAUUCAAGCAAACAUGUUGGAUUUGUAUUUUAUUUAUUUCAACAUAUAUAAUUCAAAUAAAUGAAUCAAUUCAUACUAGGAGUCUUGGAGGCACCCAUGUCAAUAAUGUGAAAUUAUGGGAAAUCUUAUUAUGUGCAUCAACAUAAGCCAAAACUCGUGGCUUAAGAGAUAUGUGUACAAUCUUCCAAUGGUUAUGCCCCCCUACUAAAUUCAUGAUGUUAACCAGUUCCCAGAAGUUGAGAAAGAACUUUAGUCAUGGGAUCAAUGUCCAGUGCAUCAUAUUUCCAGUUCCCAAAAAAAUUUAUUAUGGAACGUUGAGAAAGAAGUUUGGGCAACAUAUUUCCAGACACCUGUCAUGUCUAGGAUCGUAUCAAGCCUAGGUAAGCUUAGUCAUGGGAUCAAUGCAGGCUAUUUGUACGCUGACCCGGUUCUUAACUCAAGUCCUCCUUGCUUGAUACAAUAUUGAAUGGAAAGUAUAUAAUCAAUUUACUUAAGUGGGUGAACAAUGUUGGCUAGUAUAUUUCAACACUCACCUCACAUGCAUCUUUUAGGGGCAUAUAAUGCAUCGUUAUGGAAACAUUUUUUCUAUAGACUAAAUUCCAAUGGAAAAUUUUAAUUAAUUUAAUUAGUAGCAAUCUCGUAUGGCAAGGAUAUAUGGCAAAUGAAAAUGAGGGCCCAAAUGCUACUUGUUGGCACACAAAAAUAAAGUUAUCUUUUUCCUCUCAUGUUGAUCCUCCGUGGUUCGACAUUGGGCAUUACAAAGAGAUCAAGUUAUCUUUACACACCGCUAGAGCUACCAGACCCCGGAUGUUCCACCAUGAAUGUCCAUAUGGUGCAAUGAGUGAUAGCGAGCUAUAUUAGAACAUAUAGUUUACACAGUUAAAGUAAUUAAAUGGGCUAUUUUGCCUACUAUGAAAAAUAUUAUUUCAAGAGAAAACUAUGUAAGAGUUUGUGAUCUUUGUAUGUAAAAGCAUUAUUUGCCUUUGCUUGGUGUUCAAGCAGUUUGAUUUAUGGCAAAAAUGGAAAAUCAUGGGACAAUAAUUGUUGAUAUUCUUUGCGGGAAAGCGAGAUGUUUUCACUUUUCAGCUCAAACAAAGUAUUGUUUUUCUUAUAGGGGUGAUAUACAGUGUUCGUGGACUUGUGAUUCGUUGUCCAUUUAAAUUUGGUUUCUUCCAUAGAUUAUGUUGGUUUGUUUCUGUAUUUAUAUCAGCACUAAAGUAUACUGAUGUUAGCUAAGUCCACUCAAAGGCCCAUGUUUUUAUCAUGUUAUGCAAAUUAGUAAGCUAAGAUCUUACCAAACUCAAGUUACAUAAGCCCAGACUACGUGAAAUACACAUCAUGCAGUACACAUGUUCAUCUUAGUGUUAUGUCAUACUUGGCUCCGAGAUAACAAAUGGUAUCAAUUAUUACUAUCUUUUGCAGCUUGUUUCUGCCUGUUCAUCCUAGAAUUAUGUUAUGUGGUCUCCCAAGGUUCAUGCAACUUGGAUUUUCAUACUUUGGUAGUAUUAGUGUUCACUAGGACUAGGUGCCACUCUAUAGAAGUUGAGGAUACAGAUGGAGAAAGUAGUCAUGGUUUUUAUUUUUCAAAUUGUUGGUUUAUAUCUAUAAGAGGUUUAUGAAUUUUCAGUUUAUGGUGUUGUGAAACCUAGAGUGUUUUAUCUCAUUUAACAUUGAACUACGCUUGCACGGAAAAACCUUAAUUUGACAUCGAACUAUGCAUGCAGGGCAAACACUCCGUGCAUCGGUGCCACCGCGCCGCGAACCCUGGGAGCUUGAACCUGGAUGGGUGUGAACUUAUGAUUGAUGUCAAGGUUAGGGGUCAGUCAUGGAUAGAGAAUAAAGGCGACUUUGCGAAACUGUUAUUAAUAAUAUGGAUGAACAUUGCCUUGUGCAGAGAAUAAGAUAUUUCCAGAGAUAUUUAUAAAUGGAUGCAUACUUGCAAUAGCAGUACAAAAUAUGAUGCUGACAUUUUAUUUUCAUUGUUGUUCCCAUUAAACUUCUGGUGAUGGCUCCAUUAUUCAAAGCCUCACACAUGAAAAUGUUAUUUCGUUCGAGUAAAUGUUGCGUGUCGUUGCUCCUGUAGUUUUGCGGUUUGCAUCUCCUUGUAACUUGUGAGUUGGAUUUUGGGAAGUUGCAAUGCAAAUUUGGGAUGCAGGGAAGAUAAUAAACAAUGCUUUCUAAGAACAUUGGAUAUUGGAUGCGACUCAGAAAGAACGCAUGCAAAUGCAAGAUGCAAGACGUAGUAGCCAAUGUCCAGGUUUAUUAAGAGCAUCUACACCGGACGCCUCAUAUCUGCCACAAUCGCCACGGCGUGCUGCCCGAUCUGUACUAGGAUGCAAAAUUGCCACCCAACAGGACCUGUAAAAUCCGGCCCAAAUGUAUAGACAUGACCGCACUCCCCAUACCCAGCCCAUAUCUCGGACGGAUAUGUGGAAGCCCAGAGGUGCCCGGACACACCCGCCAGGUAGGAUCCGGCCGACUGCGGCACACCCAACCCCACAUAAAUUGGACCCUAUCCGCACUCCGAGCGAAACCCAAGCCGCAUUCGACUCCACUCUACUCCUCGCCAGGCCACUCCCCUCCACCCACAAGCCCCAUUUGCGGAUCUCCCACCAUUUCGAGCCGUUGAACUGCUGAUCGUCCCACGCGGCCCCAAGGAGGAGAUGGUCGACUGCCUGGCGCUUCUCCACUACCGGAGGAGUCUGCCCGGCAGCGGUCGAAAUCCAUCUUGCGGGAAUCCAUUGCUUCUGCCACAAUGGUGCAUGGAUCCCGCCCGAGGGCAGUCGCCGCUGCCUCAGCAGAGGCAGUGCAGUCCGUCUGGUGUCCGAACGCCGUGGAGGAUAUGCAACCACUUUGUUGGCGCACUGAGAAAGAGAUGCACACCAGCUUAACGUCUGAUACAAAUAUGGUGUGGCGCAUCCAUCGUGUUAGGCAAUGGGCACGGGAGCACGUGGCUGCCCUCGUGCCAGACACCAGAGGGGUAGACUCGCACUCUUCGGUGCCUCGUAUCGUACCCGGCAGCCCUUGGCACCGAAAUCAUGUCGUGUUGGACGCGGCUGGCUCCACCAUGAUGGAUCAAUUAUCGACCUGGCAUCCACCGAUGACAGGCAGGGCACGGGCUCCAACGAGAAAGAGUAGGCCAUGGGAGAUGGCGCCGACUCGAGUUUCUUUUGCCGGGUCGUGUCCCAUGUCCUACUCUACCUCACCGGAGAACGACCCUCCACUUCGACAGGCUAAGACAGCCAACGGACAUGGACAGGGUUGGAACAACAAGGACAGUCGCUGGCGCAAAUUUAGACUACAGCCGUCGACGCGAGGUGAGCGCGGCACGAGUUAAUCGCUGAAGAGGUUGGGCCCUUCUGUCGCUCCUGGUCGUGCAGUAGCCGACGUAGUCCUCCAUGACCACUAGAUCGACGCCGCCACCACUGCAUGUCUAGGCGUCUCUGUAGUGGCUGAUGUCAUUAAAGUGUAUUUUCUUUGUAUUGUGAUGAUUGCAGACUGUGUUGCGUAUUGUGGCGUAUUUUCUUUGUAUUGUCAUGAUUGCAUACUGUACAAUUUAUUGUGGCAUAUUUUUUGUGGUCUAUCUUUAAAAAGAAAACUAUAAAUAGCUAAAAGUGAUGUGCAGAAUAAAUGUAUACCCGCCACUACAAAACAAAUGCCAGUACUGGCACAUAUUUUUGCCCGCCAUUAAUAGCAAUGCCUGCCACUACUACAAGAUUGAGGUCGAUGGCGGGCUGUUUGUAACGCCCGCCACUGUUAUAGUCAUCUGUGGGAGGUGGAGCGCCCGUCACUAAUGCCAUGUUGCUAGUGGCAGGCGCCUCUGAAAGCCUCACCCAUCAUUGCUAGGCUUUUGAUGCCGCCACUCCUACGCAUUCCUGUGGUAGUGUGCAAUUGCGUAUCUAGUAGAACAUAUACAACUAUCCUCCCAACAAGCAGUUUCGUCCUACCAUGAAGUUAUAGUCGCGUUGAAGACAUUCAUUUAUAAUCGAAAGUGACGUUGCAGUUGCAUAUCAAGUAGGAGAUAUUUAACUGCCUAAUGAAAAAACACUUUGUUCCCUAAGUUACAGUCGCGUUGGAGACAUGCAUUAGCGAAACGACACCACCUGUAGUUGCGUGUUUGGAGUUAGACAUGCAACUAGCUCCACAGUAAUAAUCUGAAUUUUAAGUUUUAAUGAAUUUUAAAUUAAAGAAAAAAAAUAAAAGAUGAAGAUAUAAAAACAGAAAUAGAGCAAACAAACAAUAGGAAAAAUCCUAAAAAAGGCAAAAACAAAGAAAGGAAAAACUUGUUUGAAGUUUCUAGAAGCUUCAUAAAACCAGUAGAAAGAGUCCUACAUGGGCCGGCCCACUCACACAUGUAAAAAGAGGCGGGCGAGGCAUAUGUCGACUAGCUCAGAGUUGGGGAAUCCUAUUCCGCGCAUAGGUCGCUACGUAGCGACCUAGCACGUACCCCUCGGGUUUGUGGUCCUCUUCGAGUCGGUCCAUUCCAGGUUCUUCCCCAUACCGGUUUUUAGGAAGGUUCCAGACCUUUUUUCUAUUUUCUUUGUUUUCUUCUAGUUUUUUCUUUCUUUUAUAUUUUAUAUAUUACUUCUUAUUUUCUUUUAUCUUAACUUUUCCUUUUUGGUGUUGCCAACAUAUUUUCAAAUUCAUAAACUUUUAUUGAAAUCAAGAACAGGUUUUGAGUUGACAAACAUAUAUCUGAAAUAAUAAACAUUUUCUAAUUUGACAAUACAUUUUGGAUUCACAAAAUAACAAAAAAAUUAAUUUUGAGAACAUUUUUUAAAAAAUUCUGAACAUUUUUGUCAAUCGGCCGACAUUUUUUGAAUCGAUGAACAUUUCUAUGAAUUGACAUAUGUUUUUUGAAUUGGCAAACAUUUUUUGAAUCGAUGACCAUUUUUUGAAUCAAUGAAUAUUUUUACAUGAAUGAACAUUUUUUGAAAUUCACAAUAAAAAAAUUUAUGAACAUUUAAAAAACUUGUUGAAUAGUGCUUGUAUCUCAAAUUCCGUCCUGAUUAAUUAAAGUGGUGAUACCUAUCAAAAGAAAAUAGCUACGGUUGGCACAAAAUUUACUGCAAAUUAAUCAUGUGAUGAAAGACUUAGACGUGACAUAGGUUUUUUAUGGACCCUGAUAAGUGCCACACGUCAGGGACGUUCUCAUGACAACAUUGAACAUUUUUAUGACAAGUUUAGUUGCACGAUGAUGGCAAAUUUAAUUGAAAAUCAUGAAAACUUUCGUUAUUUAUCUUAUUUUGAUAGAAACUUGUCGUGUGUCACUGGAAUUUGCGAUCCUUGGAUGACAAUAAUAUCCAUCAAAAAAGUCAGACCCAAAGUGCCAAGCACCUGACGUGUAAGACCUAUCAUUUGGAUACUUUAUACCUAAGAUAUUAUUUACCAAAACCAUAGCUGAGACAUUUUCCCCAAUGCAGGCGGGGCCGAUGAAAAGUCGAACCCCUUGCCAACCUACUCAAAAUGUGUACACGGUCUCCCUUCGUCCCGAAAUACUUGUCGGAGAAAUGGAUAUAUCUAGAUGUAUUUUAGUUCUAGAUAGAUCCAUUUUUAUGCAUUUCUACGACAAUUAUUUCCAGACGGAAGGAGUAGUAAGUAUAUAUUUGUUUCUAAAUAUAAAUAAAUUACUAUUAAAUACUACUAUACCAAAGAUAUAAGAACAUUAAAUACAAGUAUACCAAAGAUAUACCUAAAUAUAAGAAUAUUUAAUACUAGUAUACCGAAGAUAUUCUACAGUUAAAUUCUAUUAACUCUGUUCCAAAAUAUAAGAAUAUUACUAUAAAAUACUAUUAGUUGUGUUCAAAUAAUUAGUAAUAGAGAUAAUAUUCUUUAGUAGUGAUAUAUCUUUAUUGCUCAUUAAAUAUAAGAAUAUUACUAGUAUUAAAUACUAGAAUCCUAAAGAUAUAUCUAAUA
This 10433-nucleotide long non-coding RNA is filed under the name Triticum aestivum (bread wheat). RNAcentral's name for it is "long non-coding RNA (TAES_LNC017160)". The stretch from base 9991 to 10115 matches the Rfam family "MIR1120/MIR1122 microRNA precursor family". Lineage: Eukaryota; Viridiplantae; Streptophyta; Magnoliopsida; Poales; Poaceae. The record is from RNAcentral.